CCUACGGGAGGCAGCAGUCGAGAAUCAUUCACAAUGGGGGAAACCCUGAUGGUGCGACGCCGCGUGGGGGAAUGAAGGUCUUCGGAUUGUAAACCCCUGUCAUGUGGGAGCAAAUUAAAAAGAUAGUACCACAAGAGGAAGAGACGGCUAACACUGUGCAAGCAGCCGCGGUAAUACAGAGGUCUCAAGCGUUGUUCGGAAUCACUGGGCGUAAAGCGUGCGUAGGCUGUUUCGUAAGUCGUCUGUGAAAGGCGCGGGCUCAACCCGCGGAUGGCACAUGAUACUGGUAGACUAGAGUACUGGAGGGGGAAUCGGAAUUCUCGGUGUAGCAGUGAAAUGCGUAGAUAUCGAGAGGAACACUCGGGGCGAAGGCGGGUUCCUGGACAUUAACUGACGCUGAGGCACGAAGGCCAGGGGAGCGAAAGGGAUUAGAUACCCGAGUAGUC
This 446-nucleotide ribosomal RNA is filed under the name uncultured bacterium. RNAcentral's name for it is "partial 16S ribosomal RNA". It matches the Rfam family "Bacterial small subunit ribosomal RNA", at positions 338 to 795 of the family's 1533-position model. The record is from RNAcentral.